RNAcentral lists this long non-coding RNA (545 nucleotides) under Anas platyrhynchos platyrhynchos (common mallard). RNAcentral's name for it is "lncRNA (ENSAPLG00000016998.1)". The record is from RNAcentral. Lineage: Eukaryota; Metazoa; Chordata; Aves; Anseriformes; Anatidae.
AAUAACUCAAUGAAAUGAUGCAGAUUUAAGCCAUCUGUCCUCACUGUCUGUAAGGAAAGAAACAGUCUGAAAUUCACCUCCAAGACAGUUUAAAAAGUGUCUUGUGUAACAUCAAACCUCCCAGAUUUGUCAAUAGAGUAAGGUUUUAUCUAUCAGUAAGAUAGAUAUCUUUUUUCUUUCUAGCUGGUAGUUACAGCUAGAAUGUUAUAAUCUGCCAUGAUAACAACUGGAGUCUUCUAGAGAGUGGAUUUUUCCUUGUGAAAUUUUUCUCUUGGGUACCAUUAAAUGACGCACACUUCAGAGCCCUGCGAGCACUAAGAGGCCUUAAUAGCCAUGAUGGUCCCACCUGGGCACUCCCCGCUCCCUCUGCCUCUCGGCCAGCAGCUGUGUUUGCACCCAGCACCUGCCUGAGGUGUGCCAGACACGCAAUGCUCUUCAGCUCAGCCAGGCCUGGGGCCGGACCAGCACUCACUGCACCGUAGCCCAAGCCUGACCUGCAGGUUGAAUUCCUGUCUUGGCAUUGGACCUGCCUUAUCACCGUGGUA